GAUGAACGCUGGCGGCGUGCCUAACACAUGUAAGUCGAGCGAAGCACUUACUUUAGAUUUCUUCGGAAUGAUGAAGUUUGUGACUGAGCGGCGGACGGUUGUGUCACUCGUGGGCAACCUGCCCUGUACAGGGGGAUAACAGUUAGAAAUGACUGCUAAUACCGCAUAAGCCCACAUCUUCGCAUGAAGCAGUGGGAAAAACUCCGUGGGUACAGGAUGGUACCGCGUCUGAUUAGUUAGUUGGUAAGGUAACGGCUUACCAAGGCGACGAUCAGUAGCCGACGUGAGAGUGGGACCGGCCAAGUUGGGACUGAGACACAGCCAAAGCUCCUACGAGAGGGAGGAGUGGGGAAUAGUGAACAAUGAGGGAAACACUGAUGCAGCGACGCGGCGGGAGCGAAGAAGUAUUUCGGUAUAUAAAGCUGUAUCAGAAGAGAAGAAAGUGACGGUAACUGACUAAGAAGCCCAGGCUAACUACGUG
Molecule: ribosomal RNA, 481 nt
Filed under: uncultured bacterium
Lineage: Bacteria
Description: partial 16S ribosomal RNA
Rfam family: Bacterial small subunit ribosomal RNA
Source: RNAcentral